Long non-coding RNA from Cotesia glomerata, 465 nucleotides. RefSeq lists it as uncharacterized. Lineage: Eukaryota; Metazoa; Arthropoda; Insecta; Hymenoptera; Braconidae. The record is from RefSeq and is a predicted model, not a curated record. The transcript is spliced from 4 exons.
GUUAAUACGAUCCUAUCUCGUUACAUUUCAUCUUAUUAUAAUUAGUCGACACGCAGCUACUGAACGGAGUUGUUCCAACGAAUAAAAUUCUGUACAAGUGUACCCAAGUUUUGUGGUAGUGAUAGGUGACAAAAGUUUAUAGAACAUUAUAAAGAAAGGUCGCCAUGUACGUUGAUGGUGAGAGUUAUUACGGGUUUACAACCUUUUUCCAGUGGGCAGCAGUCGAUUGCAGCCCAGAGAGAUUCUAGGACAUGUUGCGUCUGGCCGUUAUGGUCACACUCAUGGCCACUACUGACCAACCUGCGACGGCCCGAGAUGCAAUCCAUGUGAUCUGAGAUUGUCCAACAUCGCUGACAUUGAGGUCCUGUCAGAGAGCCCUGUGAGCAUGGCUCGGUCCAUUUCUGCUCCUAUGGUAGCUACAUUUUCUCGUGACAAUUGAUAAGAAAAAUUAACCGAGAGAGAGGA